GAUGAAGAACGUAGCGAAAUGCGAUAAGUAAUGUGAAUUGCAGAAUUCAGUGAAUCAUCGAAUCUUUGAACGCACCUUGCGCCCUUUGGCCAUUCCGAAGGGCAUGCCUGUUUGAGUAUCAUGAACACCUCAACUCUUUAUGGUUUUCCAUGAUGAGCUUGGACUUUGGGGGUUUUGCUGGCCUAUGGUCGGCUCCUCUAAAAUAAAUCAGCUUACCAGUGUUUGGUGGGUAUCAUGGGUGUGAUAACUAUCUACGCUUGUGGUUUUCCGCCAGGUAACCUUCGACAGCGGAGGUUCACUGGAGCUCAUAGAUGUCUCUCCUCAGCGAGGACAGCCCUUUGAAUGUUUGAUCUCAAAUCAGGUAGGACUACCCGCUGAACUUAAGCAUAUCAAUAGGAGGA
RNAcentral lists this unclassified non-coding RNA (401 nucleotides) under soil metagenome. RNAcentral describes it as "partial contains 5.8S ribosomal RNA, internal transcribed spacer 2, and large subunit ribosomal RNA". The stretch from base 1 to 121 matches the Rfam family "5.8S ribosomal RNA", at positions 35 to 154 of the family's 154-position model. The record is from RNAcentral.